CCCCACAUUGGAACUGAGACACGGUCCAAACUCCUACGGGAGGCAGCAGUGAGGAAUAUUGGUCAAUGGACGAGAGCCUGAACCAGCCAAGUAGCGUGAAGGAUGACUGCCCUAUGGGUUGUAAACUUCUUUUAUAAAGGAAUAAAGUCAGCUACGCAUACCCGUUUGCAUGUACUGUAUGAAUAAGGAUCGGCUAACUCCGUGCCAGCAGCCGCGGUAAUACGGAGGAUUCGAGCGUUAUCCGGAUUUAUUGGGUUUAAAGGGAGCGUAGACGGAUGUUUAAGUCAGUUGUGAAAGUUUGCGGCUCAACCGUAAAAUUGCAGUUGAUACUGGAUAUCUUGAGUGCAAUCAGAGGUAGGCGGAAUUCGUGGUGUAGCGGUGAAAUGCUUAGAUAUCACGAAGAACUCCGAUUGCGAAG
This 418-nucleotide ribosomal RNA is filed under the name uncultured Bacteroidales bacterium. Its description in RNAcentral is "bacterial SSU rRNA". It matches the Rfam family "Bacterial small subunit ribosomal RNA", at positions 306 to 720 of the family's 1533-position model. The record is from RNAcentral. Lineage: Bacteria; Pseudomonadati; Bacteroidota; Bacteroidia; Bacteroidales.